GCGGGGUCUUACUCGAUUGAUGGCAGCUAAUUUACAAGAAUAAAUGAAUCGUUACCAAGAUUAUUUCCGCUUUUAUCAGUAAUCGAAGUGAAAAUGUGGUUGAAAAGUGCAGUUUAAGUUAUAAACGCACGUUUCUGACGUGCGUAUUGUGGUAGAAAAUGUAUAUUCGUAGCACGCUAGGAGCCAUUUUUGCUAUAUUUAUUUUAUGCGUUCAUUGUGAUAAUGCAGCUAAUUACAACGAAAUUACGAGGAUUUACGUUCCGUCCGCACCACAGAACCUGACAGCCAAUAGGGUGACAGCAGACGAAAUCCACCUAUCAUGGGCCCCGCCUUUGACCUCGAUCCCUGCGCCCAAACACCUAUCAGAUCUCAAGACCCAAACACCAACGACCACCGAUCGAGACGUUUCCAAGAAGAAGCAUGAACAGCAGUCGGACGAGCCUGUGAAUGACGUCAUAGAGGACUCCGCGGUUAUGUCCGACUCGCCAGUCAAUCUGAAGGAUUUUGACUACACCUGGUACAAGAGCGGGCGAGAGAAGUUUGACGACAUCAUCAUUGACGAACAGUAUCGGAGUAAAAGGGAGCUCCGAUCGCAUCGCCACAGAAAGAGACGUCAAAACAACGCGACAGAUAUCAAAACUCACCAUGAAAAAGACGAGGUGGAAACCCACCAAGCCGUUGAUAUGCCCAUCAAAGAAGUUGUGAAGAAAUCGUAUCCACCACCGAUUGUGCCACUUAAGAACCCAGCACAGAUCGCCUAUGUCUUGUACUAUGAGCAAGGGGUGCCAAGGUCAGACACGUCGACGAUAUUUGGAGUCCAAAGUUCUUCAGAAGUGAAGAAGAAGAAUGUAUUUCCAAGUGAUUUGGGCAUGGAGCAGUACUCGAGGGCCACGAAGAAUCUGACGUUGCUGAACACAUCUGGUGUUGUGACCAAAGUCGUCGGGUUCCGGUUGAGGAAUUUGAAGCCGUUCACUCCAUACAAGAUCUGGGUACGAGCGUUCUACAACUUCUCCUUGGAAGGCGUCAAGUCAUCCGACCUGAUCGACCGGCUGGGCCCACAGUCCACGCCCCUCUACGUCCUGACUGAUGUGCGGCCCCCAUCUGCGCCUAUUGUGCUGAAUUUGACUUGCGAUCAGCCCAAAGGAAUUCUAUUUCUUCAAUGGCGUCAACCGCUGGAGUACAACAACUCGUUGGACCAGUACGUGGUGACACUGCGCAAGAUCCCCGAGAUGCAGCCGCGCAGCCGCUUGACCAUGCCCACAAACAAGAGCGACAUUGAAACUACCAUCACGGUGAACGUGGACCUAUCAAACGUGACACAGUACGAAGUGAAGAUCUACGCGGUGACCCUGUCCGUGGCUCGUAACAACAUGCUCAUCAACGGGUCGGAGUCUCCGCCAGAGGAGAUAUCAAGCGAGUGGUGCACGUCGUCCCCGAGCGUGAGCGCGCCGGGCUCGGUGACGUCUGCGCGGGGCGUGAGCACGGCCGCGCUGCUGGGCGUCGUGCCGCUGGCGCUGAUCGCCGCCGCCGCCGUCGCCGCCGUCUACUGGCGGUGUCGGUCCAGACUGAGUAAGUGCAUCAGCGCGGCGUACAACUACCUAGAAGAGGGCGGCGAGAGAGCUGCUCGGGCGCCGCUCAACGCGUAUAAGAAACCAGUGGUGUCCCAGUCCCCGCUGGCGGCGGCGGGCGGCGCGGCGGAGGCGGGCCCGGCGCCGACGGCGGCCCCGCCGCGCAUGGCCACGGCGCACCACCCCGCCGUCAGCGCGCGCUGCUUCCCGCGACACGUGGCCGCGCUGCACGCCGACGGGGACAUCGGCUUCAGCAAAGAGUACGAGAUAGUGGUAGCGAAGUCCGCGGCACUCGGCCACACGAGCCAUCACAGCCACCGGCCAGAGAACAGACUCAAGAACAGAUACCUCAACAUUACUGCUUACGACCACUCCCGCGUGUGCGUGUCCGCGGGCGGGCGCUGCGGCGCGCGCGGCUGCGUGGGCGCGGGCCGCGGCGCCGCCUGCGACUACGUCAACGCCAACUUCAUCGACGGCAUGUUGCCCAGCCUGGGGCCCGAACACGUGCGCCGCAUACAGCGCAAGCUGCACCGCAGGCAGCCCUUGCAGAGAAAACCGUCAAUAAAGCCUGCAAAGCCGCCGCCUAACCUGACAGAGGGCAUAGAGUCCGCGUUCCUCAAUAUUGAGUUCUCCGGCAUAGUGGAGUCCACUGACCAGGACUCGGACAGCGAGCGCAGCGACACCGACACUGAGCUCGAUGACGUCUAUGUCGAUAUUGACGGCGAGAAGACCCGCGUGAAGCUAGAAUGGCUGGUGUGGCGCAGGCGCUAUAUCGCGACGCAGGGGCCCACGCCGGCAACGCUGGACGCGUUCUGGCGCAUGAUCUGGCAACAUCGCGUGCACACCGUCGUCAUGAUCACCAAUCUCGUCGAGCGCGGCCGGCGUAAGUGCGACAUGUACUGGCCGGACGGCGGGCGCGGCAGCACGGCGCAGUUCGGCGGCGUGCACGUGACGCUGCAGCACGAGGACGUGCGGGCCGCCUACACCGUGCGGCGCAUGCGCGUGCGCCCCGCCGCGCCCGCGCUAAACGGGGACAGCCCGGUGGGCAGCCCCGGGCAGUGCCGCACCGUGGUGCAGUACCACUACACGGUGUGGCCCGACCACGGCACGCCGCGGCACCCGCUCGCCGUGCUGCCCUUCGUGCGCGCCGCCAGCGCCGACGAGGGCACCGUGCUGGUGCACUGCAGCGCCGGCGUCGGCCGCACUGGCACAUACAUAGUGCUGGACGCGCAGCUCAACCAACUGAAGCUGACAGGCACCCUCUCCCCCCUCGGCUUCCUCUGCCGGGCGCGCACACAACGGAACCACCUCGUGCAGACAGAAGAACAAUACGUUUUCGUCCACGACGCGUUACUGGAACACGUCAGAUCCGGCGACACAGAAGUCGAAUUCACCAAAGCCAGAGAAUACUUGGCGAAGCUUCUAGAACCUAUCUCCGAGGAUGAGUUGGCUGUUCUGGACUUGAGUCCCCAAAAGGUUAAAAGCAGUAACGACCUAACGAAUGGCUUAGACGAUACAGCAAGCGUCAAGAGCCAAAGUCAAGAGGCACAGUCUUGUGCAAACGAUGCACAGUCCUGUGUUAAUGGGGACAACGAGUUGUUAGAGAAUGGGAGUCAGAUGUCGAUUAAGACUGAUGAGCUGAACAGUGAACAAAGCAAGUCGGUGAAGGAUGAUGAUGAAGGGCGGAGUGAACCCAUGGUGAACGGCGAAGAGACAGAAGGCGUGUACGACUUGGCGCCGCGGUCGACAGACACGUACAGUAAGAAGAUGCAAGCGUAUAACAACCUCAGUGAACAGGAGAAGGAAGAGAUUAGGAGGGUGAACCGAGCGGAAAACUACGCGUUGCUAGAACGCAUGCGGUCGCUGGCCAACAGACAUCACACGUAUCAGGGCCCGCCGCCUGUCAACCUGCUGGAGAAACAGUUCUUGCUCAUAACUCGAUCAUGCGUGGAGCCGAGCGUGUGUGCGCGCGCAGCUCACAACGUGGACAAGAACCGCGUCGGCGGCAUCCUGCCUUCGGACUCUGCUAGGGUCAUGCUCGUGCCCAAACCAGGAGUUGAAGGUAGCGACUACGUGAACGCGUCGUGGGUGUGCGGCCGGCGGCGGCUCCGGGAGUACGCGGUGGCCCAGCACCCGCCCACGCCUGCCGCGGCCGCUGACCUAUGGCGCUUACUCUGGGACCACACCGCGCAACUGGUACUUGUACUCAGUGACACCACCGAUCCGGAAUGCGAAAUAUUCUGGCCGACUGAGGACGAAAAGGAAUUAUUCAUAGCGAAUUUUAAAGCGAGUUUCGUAUCAAAAGACACUUACGUUGCGUACAAGAAAUCUGAACGAAAGACAGAAACCACUGCCCCUAUGGAACCAGAGACGAACGGCCACGGCCUUAGGCGGCAGGAGAGCGACUGCGCGGACGACGAGAGACUCAUACCCGAAAAUAGUUCCCCCGUGUCCGAAACCGAACCGCACUACAGAUUCGACCGAACCGAACUGCGGUUAGAACGCCUAAGCGCCGGCAACAGGGAUUUAUCCGCGCGAAAAUCGAUAGCGAACGGAGACUUAUUUUCAUCGUUAUCUGAGAAGAAAAACGGUCCAAAAUCGCCUAGGAGUCCUUCGAAAAUGUCUUUGAAGAACUUCAAGUUAAGUUCGCCGACGAAGUUUAAGUUUCCCGAGUGGGGCGGUAAGACGGCGGGGUCGCCGCCCGACGUGGCCCCGCCGCCGCCCCCCGUCGCCCCUUCACUCUCCGUCGAAGAAGAAGCCGAACUUCGCCGACCGGUGUACUACUUCGAAAAGGUCGAGACAGUCCCCGAAAGUAUACCAUCAGAUAGAAUAAUAGAGGUUAUAAACGUGAGUGUGCAUUCGUUGCAAGACGACUAUCAGUUAAGCGUUAAGUUUAUCAAAUGUUCGCAUUGGUUGGAAGGGCAUACUACGGAGUAUACGGCGGGGAAGCCUGAUGAUAACGAGUACGUAAGGGCGGUGAGAGAGGCGACGACGAAGAGCGAACGGGAAGAGGCGAUAGACAGGCUUGUGGAGCCGUAUAAAAACUCGUUCGCGUUGAUAGAAUAUGUGGCUGGUGCGCAGAUGGAGUAUAAGAACGGGCCGGUCGUCGUCGUGGACAAGUACGGCGGGUGGCAGGCGAUGUCGUUCUGCACGCUGAGCUCGGCGUGCGGCGCCAUGCGCGCGGCGCCCCCGCCCGAGCCGCCGCCGGCGCGCGCCGCCUCGCUGUACUGCGGCGCGGCGCUGGCGGCGCACGCGCGCUGCGCCACGCACCGCGCGCCGCACCGCCUGCCCGCGCUGCUGGCCGCCUACGCCGCGCUGGCCGCGCACGCGCCGCUGCUGCCGCCGCCCGAGGACCCAAUAGAGCGGACCCCAAACAGAUCUUCAGUAAUACAUUGAAACGUUAUCUAGUUGUAUAGAUGUGAAAUACUCAACGAGUUGUAUGGGAAUACUGCGGCCGAAUCGAGAAGUCGCCAAAUCUUCACACCGUCGUUCGUUUCAUUGUCAAUUUCGUUGCAAGUUUUUUUUAACUUGAUGUCGAUUUCAAAUAUAGAAACUGAACGUUACAUUGUAAUGUAACAACUUAGCACGUGACUUGCAAGAAAAACACGUUACAAAGAUAAUGGCAAUGGAACGAACGGAGCCUAUUUAAGGGUACAGUCAGACACAAAUAUAGCAUUUACUAACAUUUAGUCCCCUUCACGUCGAAAUGGAAUGCUCAAAGUGUUAACAACAAUAAAAUUAGCACUAAAACUUAGUUCUCUGUGGUCUGUUUUGAUAGGAUUUUCUAAAUUUAAAACAAAGUCCCUAUGAUUACUAUAUGGCUUAAAUGUGAAGUGGUUAUAUCCACUUAGGACUACGGAAGGUCUUCCUAUCUUGUGUGGGUUGUGAGCUCAAUAACCGACCUUAUCAACCCUGGUGUCAGGGUUACUAUUGAACCACCAAAGGCCCCUGACAUAGCUCAUGUAAGUACAUACAUACUACUAAUUGCAAUGGAUGUAGGAACUUAUGAAUUCACGCCAUUGCCAUUUCUAACUCCUUGAUUUCGGAUGGCUGUCAUUAUUUUAAUUUUUAACGAAUUUCGAUGUUGCUUUCGCGUUUGGCUAUCAAUUUAUUGAAACUAGUUUUUGAUACUUCUCAACUACCAUAGUAUUUGUGGUCAUACAUCAUUUGUUUGAAUAGGUCAUCAUCAUCUCUCGUUAUCGCGUUUUGACAGGUCCGAGUCAGGUUCUAACAUAACCUAAACAUGUGACAGGUCCGGUUUUUUUUACAUUUGUUGAAAAAGUAAAUUCUAUGUUACAUUUAGAUAGUCCUAUCAAAACAGAUUAUAAAUAUUCACUCACUAAAUCGUUUGUGAAUCCAACAAAGCUUUGUCUCUUAUGAAAUAAGAUGUGGUUGUGUAUAAGGAUAUUUUAUGGCUGAAUAUAUUGUAGCAUAUUGUUUUUAAAUAGAUUUACGUUGCUUAGGUCUUGAUAGCAAAAGAUGUGCAGAAUGACACAAACUCGCUGUAUUUUUGUGUUUAUUUUGAAGUCAUAAUAUUUCAGUAAGGGGUACAUUCGUUUCAGCGUUUUGGAUUUUAAUUUUAACAUGUGAAGAAGAUAUUUUCUUAAAAUGAAUCUAUACUACGAUCAAUGAGAAGUGCAAUGAGAUUAAAAAUAGAUGCAUAAAAAAUAAUGUCAAAUGAUAAAAAGAAUUGCAAUUCUAUUUUUGACAUAUUCUAAUUUUAAAAAUGUGAAUUCAUUCGACUACGUUUGUUUAUGACGUCACAAUUUGUGUUUUACUUUGGAAUUUAUCUAGGCCUCUAUUUUCGUUAUGUCUAUAGAAUGAAUGCGAGGAUGCAGUGAGUUUAUAUUGUCUAUGGUAGGGCGCUAGAUGGACUGCAAUUUCAGUACUCUAACAUUUCGAUGUAUAUGUUUUACAAAUCGACAAAUAUAAUGGCAACAAAACAAAUGAUCAGAAAGGUAUUUUUAUUUAGUUGGCAACAUUGCAGAUAUUGAUUAUAAGUUGGGUUUUUGCAAUAUUAGCAGUCAUCAUUAUUAAUUUACUUGCCACGCUCUUGUCGGUGUAGCAUUCUCCGUUCUUGAUAGUUCUUUGGCUUAUAAGAUACGACGUUCGAAUAUUAGAGUGAAAAGGCCCAUUUAUCUUACUCAGUUUACAAAUUAAUCACACAAUAAAAUCAUCAUCAUCGCGUCCAAGCCGUGUCCGGCGUUGGCGACUCCUAAAUGUCUAUCCCAGGUCGUUGUUAUAUAUAAGAUAGGCUCUAAUGUGGCUAGCAAAACCGAACUUCGAUUUGAAGGUUCGGCCACUUGGCGCACAGAAUAACUGGCCAGAAGAAUUAAACGUAUAGUUGUAGGAGGGCUUAAGAAAUAUGAAUAUACACAAUAAAAUACAAAGUACAUGAAAGGUAUGCAAUCUGUUUGAGAAAGAAUGAAAGAAGAGGCAGUCACUGUGGUCCUGUGGUAUACUAACUUCUCAAUCGGAGAGCGUCGGUUCAAACCCAGUACCGGACGUGCACCAAUGAGUUAUUAAUUUAAGUGAAGUUUUCACUAACACAGUUGGCUCGACCAUUAUAGACGGCGAUACGGCUCACCACCUAUCACGUUGGUCUAACAGAAAGCUCGGUGUAGUGUGAAUACCUAGUUCAUUUUGCGAUGGCCGUAACUCUGAUUACCCUAAUUAGAUAUAGUUGUGAGCUUUUGUUUAGAAAGAAUGAAAUGGUCAUUCAUAACGGUGGGUCUUUGUUAUUACAGAAUUAAGUCAAAUGCUAUCAUUAUAUUUGUCGACUGUACAUUAGAUAGAUACAGUAUUCCAGUGCAAUAUAUAGCUGAUCGCAUUUCAAAAUUAAAAAUAAAUAUUUUUUAAUACUUUUUUUGAAUAGCCAAUUUAUAUAGUUUGAGUAUCAAAGUUGUCUAUGGUAAAAGUAAAUUAGACUCGAAAAUGUAUUCGUAAUUCCUAUUAAAUCAAGUUUAUGGUCCAGUAUUUUUUAUUAUAAUAAUAAUUAUUAAUAAUAAAUAAUCUUAGAAGUAAAUACAUAAAUGUGAAGACUGCUUUUUAGUGGUUUGUCAAUUAAGAAAGGUUUUCGUUUGGUAUGACUCCAUUCUAACGAAACACAUAUGUACGGUCAUAGUUUAGAACCCUGUCCGAUCAACAUGUUUGACAUUUAGUAACCACUCUGUUUCAAUGUGUCAAAUAAGUGAAUGCGACAUGGUUCUAUGGUUUAUUCGUCGUGACCGUAUUCGAAAUUUACGUAAUAUUUUUGACCUUUAUGUAUAGAAAUGUCAGGUCAUGCUAGUAGGAUGGGGUCUGUUUUAAAGCCUUCGGGAUAGAAUUGUCGAGAUGUGAAAUACAUUUUAGUCGUUUGUCAGAAAACUCAGGGCUAUGAAUUCUUCAUUAUUAUCAUACAUAACAUCCAUAUAUACAUAUAUAAGAUAACGCAUAUUUCCUGUUGGGGAUAGUGAAGACCAAGGAAUUCCACUUACUAAGAUCGUGACACACAAUUUUCGCUUCUUUCGCACUCAUCAAAUCAUACAUAACAUAAAUAUCGUAUAUACGUCCCACUGGUGGACACAGGCCUCCUCUUACUCAACCGGACGGGCUAUGGAGCAUAUUCCAUCACUCGUCUAUGGUAGAUAUUUACUCACACACCUCAGACAGACACAAUUGUCACCCAUAAUCUGUAUUAGGUAGGCAGAAAGACAAGUAAGUAAUAGAAGAAUUGACUUUUAAGAUAUAAUUUUUUGGAGGCUAAAUAAGUAAUAAAUAAUAUUACAAAUGUAUUUCAUAUCUCAACAAUGCUUCAAAUAAUUUUGGAUUUCUAAUAAUUUUGGCGGGUGUUUGUGCGUCGGUCCCAAGUUGUGCCAUUUUAGGCUUAGCUAAAUAUACCGCGUAGUUAGUGUAAUUCUAUGUAACGUAAAUAUUAUAGUUUAUUAUCAUAUAUUACCAUUUUGCAUAGCACCUCGUUGAGGUAAACUAAAUGAUUGAUUAGCCUUUUUUUUCAGUUUGCAUCAUAUUGUUUGCCGAUUUUAAAACAGAGAACUAGCGUUUAAAGAAAGAACUCUAAGGACUGGUUCUUACCUGAUAAGUAUCUGAUUGCAUCGAAACUUAACUGGCAGAUAGUAGUAAGCUAAUCUAUGCUAUCAGAUACAGGGGGGUUAAACAGACCAUAUCAAAGCAGUUCAUCUAUAAAAGCCACAUUGCUAUUUGACAUUUGUUUUAUAUGUCAAAUUCCAAUAUUGCUUUUUUAGAUGAAUUGCUUCGAUGUGGCUUUUUAAACCCCCCCAGAUGUCAGUAGGUUUCAAAAGUGAAAUGAAAUCGUCUACGGUGAACUGUGACUUAGCAAUGAACAGUGCAAUAUAAAAAUGACAACGGCUAUAGAAUAUGAGCAUGUCCGACACGUUCUUAGCCGUUUUUUUGUCUCAGAGACAUUAUAGACGGGAGUUGCCAAGCACGCGUCUUUUCCGAAGUACAUGAACUAUUGGUUCAUGUUUUGUUAUUUUAUUUGGGUAAAUUACAGCGAUUAUACUUAACAAUAGAACAGCCUUUAAGAGUUACCACGAACUAUACGAUGUUAUUUAUAUGACAUUUAUAGAGACGUUGAUUUUUUUUCUUACGAGCGUGCGGCAGUGAGUAGAUGUGCUGUACAGUCAUGAGCAAUAUAAUGUACCCACUUUAGGACUCUGUCGCACUAACAUAUUUGACAUUUAGUGAGACUUACAGUUCAAUUUGUCAAAAAAGUUAAUGUGACAUGGUGCCAAAGUGUAUACAUAUUAAUGCUCGUGACCGUGCAUGUAUAGCUCACCUCGAAAACGUGGCAAAAAAAAAGAAUGUAAUGUAAUACGGUAUUUGAUUGGGUCAAAGAUAAAUUAUAAAAUGCUAAUCUAGAAAUAGAAGCCAGUCUAAGUUAAUAAAAAAUCAAUCUCACUUUACUUUUCGACUUAUUUUCAAAUUUUAUUUAUGGAUUUAUACCACCCAUUAAUAAACUAAUCUCAUCUUUGAAACUCCUCAAUAUCAGACAGUUCUUAUAUAAAAACAGGGACUUGAGCAUGAUCUUGAGGGCAGUCUCAGCUGAGAUUAGUUUAUUAAUACUAUCCAUAGUAACAAUGAGUGCGACGUUUGACCGCUUUUGUUGAUGACGUCACAGGACAGUAUUUCCAUACAAACUCCUAAGAAAACUUUCGUUUUGACGUUUCGUAAAAAGUAUACGAUUUGACUAGGUUGUCAAGUAGCCUAUUUGCUCCCGUCUACAAUUUCUCUUGAGCUUAUCGACGUGGGUUAUGAAAACUUUUUGAUCAUGAUUAGUUAUCCAUUGCGCGCAAACACCGCCAUAUACGUUUAACCAAAGAAGUGUGUCUUUGUAAAAUAUUCGGUCGAUAGUAGGUAUAGGUAUGUAGGCAAAUGGGUGUUGCAGCUAUAUAGGAUAAGGGUAGCAUAGGAACGUGUAAUUAUGAAUAUCACAAUGCUGUUUAUGGAGAUCGACUACUCAUACAUACAUAACAUCACGCCCAGUUCCCGUUGGGGUAGGUACGAUGCUGAUAUACCACUCAAAUAUAUAAAUAUAUUUUUUAUUUAUGGACUACUCAAUGAAAUAUACACGUUACAAUCUGUCAAACUUAUAAUUUAACAUUGUAGCAGCGGGCUUAGCACCGUGUGCGCGCGACUCUUUCUCGACUCGACAUACGUCACCCGUCACUCUCUCACAGUACUGCACAGAAAGAGACAGACGAUCUCUGUCGCGGCGAGAAAGAGUCGCGUGCUUACGGUGCUAAGCCCGCAGAUAUCCCUGCGGAUAAUAGAUAACAUAAAGAAUAGUCCAUCUCCAUAAAUAGACGAUAAAAAUAACUAAUAUUAUUACGUAUUAAUAAUAUUGUACAGUGCUUCUAUUUUCUCCAUGUCACUCGGCGAUCAUCGCAUUUCUAAAAUUUCCAUGUUCAAUUGUUUAUUAAUUUUCUUUUUUCGUGAAUUUAAAUUUGAAUUCAGAACAUAGUACAUUUUUGUUUCGUUCUUUAUUUACGCGGGAAUCAAAACAAAAUAACAAUAAAAUAUUCAGUUCUAAAUUCAAAUUCUGUUACACGAUAAAUCUAAUAACUGAUGAACAUCGAAGCAUUCGUUUGUAUUCGGAACUGCGAUGACUGCCGAGGGACAUUUAGCCAAUAGAAGCAUUAUAUUUGUUUUCUUGUUGUAUUGAAAACUGUGUAACUAACUGGCAAGGUCAGCUAAAUAAUGUAAUUUUUCGACACGAACACACAAAAUAAACAUAGAUUUUGUAGAAUUUGCCUUUGCAAUUUUAAAGCGCAAAUGAUGAACUGAACGUGUUUUCACUCAAUGUAUGUGUGUAUUAUCUAGUUUUUGUACUUGUCUUAUCGUAAUAACGAAUAUGGCGCCCCCAAUAUCAGUGUGAUCACCGUUGACAUUUUAUAGAGCAGGGUAUCUUUGUUGAAUGGACUUUCUAAUAAAAUAAAUGAGGAAAAAAAAUAUAAGCUCAAAUGUAGGUGGCAGCACUGUUGAAUGUUAAUACAUUUUGAUAGUUCUCCGUACUGUCCAGCUAAAAUUCGUGAUAAAUUUCCAUGAACUUAAAGCAACGUCGUGUACCCAGCCUAAAGGAUAAGUUACGAAAAAGAAAAGCAGUUGAAAAAAGGCAGUUUUGAUUGAACAUAAGUUUUUCUUUCCGAUCUUUAGGGAAUAAAUAUAACACUGCAGUUAAACGCUACGCAAACGGUUAUAGAGUAAAAAUAUAAUCAAAACAAUAUGCUUGUUUACUCAAAUAGUAUGGGGAACUGUCAAAAUUUAAGAACACUCCGCAGCAGCGACCUCUGGUGGGAGAAAUAGGCAAUUUUUCUCCUCAUUGAAGUUUUAAAGCAUUAUUCAUUUGAAAUAUUACACAUAAGACAAGUAUAAAUAAAUAGAUUAUAAUAUGUCUUACUGUCAUACACACACCCCCAUAACGCAUCAUAUUUAUAGGUUAUUUACCUUAAAGCAGGUUCUCAUGUAAUUCUGUUAUUAAGUUUCAAUCUUGUUAUUUCUACUGUUAUUAACCAUUAUUUAUCUAUAAAAUGUGAUGUCUGUCUAAAGUCUUUAGUGUACCUAUUUUUAUAAGAAUUAAGUCCUAUAAUAUUCUACCAUUUCGUGUAUUUAGUAAUAAUUCGGCUCAAUUUUCAUACUUUUCUAAAUUAUCCAAAGAUGAUUCACUCGCCUCCCACACCCUACAUUUAAAAUGAAUCAAAAUGUAAUAUUCAUAUAAAUGAAUUUGACCAGGGUAACGUCAUGCGAUCAUGGAACGUGUAUCAUUCAUGAUAUUUACAUUAAAUCCAUUAGUUUUACAUUAAAACACCGAUCAUUAAAUUUUGUGCCUAAUGUAAGCACAAUAGUCUGCAUAAUUUUUAUAUGGAACACAAUUUUGUAUGGAACGUAGAAGGUUUUUACUGUAAUUAAUGUAACAUGUUGAAAUGAAUUACAAGAACAAAUCUUAAGAAAACUUGUGCAGUGUGUGGUGAAUGUCUAAGUAGAAACAUAAGCAGCUUAUAUAUACGUCCCACUGUUGGACCUUGGUUUCCAACUAUGUAUGGAGCAUAUUCCAUCACGCUGCUUCAUUGUAGGCUGCUGGUGAACACCCACGCCCUUGCAAAUGUAGUUUAUUGAAAUUUAUUCAUUUAAUAUUUUUAAAAUGACAAUAUAUAAGUUUCCAUAAAGUUUACUUUUUGAAUCGUAAUAUAUGAAAAAAUGUGUUAACCGUGUAUCUGUGAAAAUAUUUUUUUAUAUAAAAUUUUAUAUAUUUCUAACUGGGCACAGGCCUUCCGGAGGAGUCCUGCUACUUCAGCGCGGGUUGGCUUUUUGUUUGUUUGUUUUUUUUUUUUAAGUUUUUGGCAUAAAAUAGCAAAUUUCAAUUCACUUUAGAGUUAUGUAACAAAAGCUCAGAAAGCGGGGUGAGGUGUGGGUACAGUCAUGAGCAAUAUAAUGUACCCACUUUAGGACUCUGUCGCACUAACACAUUUGACAUUUAGUGAGACUUAUAGUUCAAUUUGUCAAAAAAGUUAAUGUGACAUGGUACCAAAGUGUAUACAUAUUAAUGCUCGUGACCGUACUUAGUUCAUCUUGCGAUGGAUUGUACCUCUGACUAACCCUAUUGGGAUAUAGUCGUGAGCUUAUGUAAGCUUCAACCUAAGCCCCACACUGCACAAAUAUGUUCCAUGAUGUAUGUACUGAUGCCUGAGAAACUAGUUUGUAAGAUGUAAAGAAAACAUUUUUUUUAAAUAUUGACUUUAAAAAAAAUACUAUAAUACCGCCUUCGUACUACUAUAAAUGUGCCAAUUUUUUAAUAUCUACCCAUUCGACGCAUUCCAUAAACCCUUGUAACAAGCAUUUUUAAAAAUAGAAUUAACUUUUUUUAUUGACUGACAUUUACGUAAUUUUCUUGACAUUUUUGUUGCAUUUUUGUUUUUUUUGUAAGUAAAGGACUUCAGUAGGAUUUACUGCAACGGGAUCUUUUUAAAGUACUGCAAUAUUAUGCUUCUCUUUAUUUUGAUCAGAAUAACAAGAGUCAUCAUUUAUACCCAAAAACAAAGAUAAAAGAUGCAUAAUAUGUCUAUACAGCGCGAUCUAUAUUUUUUUUUGGCGAACGUAGCCUGGAAAGCCUCAUUGUUGGCAUGUUUACUAUUUGCUCAUUCGAGUCUUAAAUAAGUCCCAAAGUAUAUUUUGCAUUGAUCCCAUUACUCGUAGUCAAAGCCAAGACUGUUAUCAAUCCACACUAUGCUUUCCCGUAGUAACCAUCAAAAUCAAAUCAAAUAUGCUUUAUUGCACAAAAACAUUUUUUAUUUGCAAUAUUUUUCUAAAUUACUUUUAUAAUUUAUUUUCCGUAACAAUAUUGGUUUAUACACUUUUAUUUAAUUUAAUAAAUAAAUUACGCAUUUUUUACAACUCUAUACGUAACAUUUUUGUUUUUUUAUACUCUAUUGACUAAUACUGAAGCGAAAAGACUAAUUAUUUUAUGUUUUUGACGAAAUCAUCACACUCAUUAUGUUUAUACUAAUGUAAGUUAAACCAAAUACGAAAUGACUUGAAAGUUGCUUUAUCCAGAAUUUAGUAGCUUUAGCAUAACACUCGUUUAUCGCGCGCGAUAAAUAAACCAAUUAUUUAGGCUGAUUUAUCGCGUCGAGGUGUUAUGCUACGGCUACAGAUGACCCGUGUUUUUUUUCUUGGUUUAUCGUAUCUAUCUUAGGCCUUCAAUAUUAAAAGUGUGGCUGCAAGUUAUCUCCUCGUGGUUUAAUAAGGCCUCAUCGAAGUUAUUCAAAUAUAAAUCAAAUAUAAAAUUCAAAUAUAAAAGUAAGUGCGCAAUGCAAACAAAUGUCAAAUAGCAAUAUUGCUUUUUUAUGGUGAAUUGCUUUUCAACGUGGUGUUUUAUACCCCUGGUGUCUGAGAGGUAUCUAGUAUAUUUCAAUUCAUUUCGUCAUUUGGCUCUUUACUCGUGUAAAACUAUUAAACCUGAUAUUAAAUUUAGUUCGUAAGGGGAUGUGAAUAACACUUUUGUACGUAUAAAUGAAUAAAACUCGUCGAAUGUUAGCGUUAAGUUACGCAACACAGAAAAUAUGUUGAACAGAUAUGCUUUUUGCUUUUCCUUGAAAGUUUCAAAGGUCAAUGUUACAACUUUGCCUAAGAACAUUGUUUUAAGUUUACGCGGUUAUUAUCAUAAUUAAAGCACAUAAUAACGGGUUCUUACCGCGUUUAAAUGGGGAUAUGAGACUCCCUACUCCUAAACACGGUAAGAACCCGUUAUUAUGUGCUUUAAUUUGCCUAAGAAACCGUACAUAAAAUCCUUUUUUUGCUCCAAUAGAAAAUGAACCAUGGAAUAGGCGAAAUGUAAAACGACGUAACAUGACGUACGACGAAUCUGUUAGGUUAAUGGUGCUAAUUCCUGUACAGUCAUGAACAAAAUCAUGUACCCACUUUAGAACCUUGUCGCACUAUCAUAUUUGGCAUUUACUGAGACUUACGGUUUAAUAUGUCAAAAAAGUUAAUGUGACAUGGUUUCAAAGUGUAUAAAUAUUAGUACUCGUGACCGUAUCGACUAUCUAAUUUUAUUUUAAGUUAUAACUGUCAUUGUCUUAUCCGCUGAAAAAGAAAGGGACGGGUAAUCGACAGGCAUAAAAUUUAUAGAACACACGUCAAUUUUAGGCAGAAAUUUGAAAAACACUUCAAACAUUUUAUAUUGGUCAAUAAUCCGAUAGAAUUAAGUUGACAGCUUACCUCAAACGGGUUGCACAUGCGAGAUGCCCGUUUUAUUCGCGGGUUAUUCAUUCGUUUUAAAAUUAACAGUUGUCAAUCAUCCGUCCCUUUCUUUUUUGGCGGAUGAGAAAAUGACGGAUAUAACUUAAAAUAAAAUUAGGAAGUGUCUGCAGGAAUCGAGCCCAAUGUGUUUCUACGUAGACCAUAGUUGGUGGUAAUUUCUUUAUCAUUUGGCAUAAGUUUAUUGGGCAAUGUUGGACAUUGAUUAUUGACGUUUUCAAUGAUUAAUAAAAAAACAUCCCUGUUGAUACCCAAAGCGGUAAUGCAUCAAGUCAUUUCUGUUAAGUGAAAAUUGUAAUAUAAAAAAAAUGUAUGAACUCACUUUUUUCUAAAUAGUUAUAAAUGUUCCAGUGUUAAGCCUAGAAUCUAUAAUGGCCUGAAGAAUCACCGUAAAAAGAACAAGUUUUAAUUUGUCAUAAAAAGAAGUUAGUUCCAUAAAUAAGUUUGUUAGUAAAGGCAGCAGCUAUCAAAUGUCUCUAAAAACGUUCUCGACGCCUUAAAAUAAUUCUAAAUAAAAACCAGCAUAAUAAGUAUUACUUGUGUAGAAUUCUCUAAAGUGCGUCGAGUAUCAAAGUUACCUAAGUUUUAAAGGUCAAGUUAGACGCUCUGUUGACUCGAUUUAGUGGGCGUAGACCUUUAAAGACGUGAUUCUUUCAAACAUUGUCGGAUUAUUCUCUAUUUUGAUCACAUCGCAUGGUAAAGUUAGAUAAACGAUAACGUCACAUUCGCAUGUAAAUCUAUUUAUUAGACUAUUUAUUUUUAUUUAACCGCCUGUAUUAUUUUCAAUGUAAAAAUAUAUUAUAAGAAAUUUAUCUAUA
Molecule: unclassified non-coding RNA, 15658 nt
Filed under: Pectinophora gossypiella (pink bollworm)
Lineage: Eukaryota; Metazoa; Arthropoda; Insecta; Lepidoptera; Gelechiidae
Description: uncharacterized LOC126377807
Source: RNAcentral